CAAAGAAGGGCGUGGUCCGAGGCGUCAAAAUGGGAGCUGCGCGUGCAGCUGUCACCGCCCACUCUGGGGGCGGGGCGAUUUCCCUUGGGUGCGCGCGCAGCUUUCUCUAGUUAGUCUGCGGACCCCAGAGGCCGCUCUCCGGCCCGCGCCCUGGACCCCCUUUCUCCACAGGCGCCCCCGAACCGGGGCCUUCGGAACCCAGGGCUCAGGAGGGCUGAGCAGACCCGGCCGCAGCUGCCGCGGGGCCUUCCGGUCACGGCAGCCUCGGGACUCAGUGCAGCUGCCCAGGGCCUCCGUGGCUGAGCCUGGGGGUUCUCUGGACAGGAUCCGAACCACUGGCAGAUGUGGGUGCCUGUUGCUGUUGAUUUCUCAACAAUGUUGCAGUGGAUUCAUUUCUGAGAGGAACAGCGUGGUGGGGGCAAGAGGCGCGGAGUCACUACACAGACCCCGGGAGUCCAGUGAAAGCAGGCUUGAGGUGAGCAGCCGGCAGACUUGUUUAUUUCAGUUGAAACUACCUCUUAUAUAGCCAAGACAAGCCAAUAUGGUCAAGGGGCAGUCUAUGCCCCAUCCAAUCACAGCCUGCCAGGCAGUUUCCAAAGCCAUCCAAUCACAGCCUGCCAGCAGCUUCCAAAGCCAUCCAGUCACAGCCUGUUGCCAGGCAGUUUCCAAAGCCAUUCAAUCACAGCCUGUUGCCAGGUGGGUUUCAAAGCCAUUCCUGAGUAACUGAUGCUCCCUUGCCAGUGGCCACCUUGGCAUGGCCCUCUCAUUCCACCACACCAAGCCAUAACAAAGAGCUGGAUCAAAAGUGGAGCAGCUGGGACUCAAACCGGUGCCCAUAUGGAAUGCUGGCACUGCAGACAGUGGCUUUACCUGCUACACUACUGUGCCAGCCCCAGAACAAGCAUGUAUAACACAGCAAGUUAGAAUAUUGGAUUUUGAAUAUGAAUUCACAUUAGGAUAUGCUUUAUAUUGUAGGAGUUUAUGGAUAGAGGUUAUGGGCAAACACAAGACUUGUGUAGGUAAGUUUUACAUAGAUACUUAGGCAUGAAGAUAAAUUUUUCAUUACCUACACAAUCAUAUUAUUGAAAAAUAAAAAUAGAGAUAAAGGAUGGAAAAAGAAAGCAGAGGAGUCAUAUGUGAUUUUUUUUCAGGGCCCAUAUAAAUAGUGACACUUUGGCAAGGGAUUUUUCAUGAGAUUGUUUUAAGGAAGAAAUUUUUCUGAAAAGGAAACUCAAAUGUAGCACACACUUAUUUUCUAUGAUAUUUCUGCUUAAGCAAAGUGCUUAUGCAUGUAUUACUUUCUUGUAAAUUCAAAAUUACCGGACAGUUCAUCGGGAAAAACAACAGGAGAAAGUCAAAAAAUUGAUUUAGAGUUCACUUUUCUUUUACAAUGUAGACUGACAAAAUAUUUUUAAAAUAAAUGUAACCCUUGAUAUUGUAGAAAUAUUGCCAUAUUGCAAAUGUGUGAAAUAUGGGAAAUACUUAUAAAUAGUAAAAACACAAAAAGACACACACACACACAUAAACUGUACACAUACUAGGGUCUAUUCUUAUCUUUAGGGGGAAAGGACUCAAAGAUAAAUGUCUCCCCAGUUUUUUAACUCAGAACUACUCUCAGUGGUUCACACAUUUUACUGAUGAGUAAACUUGCUUCAAGUUUUCCAUGAAUAGAAAUUGAGAAAUUUGUCAAUUGUACUCUAUGGAGCAUGUAAGUGACCAUACCAUAAACUCUCAAAUGCAAUGGUGUGUUGGAGUUCUUUCCUGGAUAUUGUUCCUGACCUUGUGGGCAGUGAGAGCCACAGGAGAGUUAAAGGUACUUCAACUGACAGAUCUGUUACUUGGAGGCUCCACAAGGAAUCAAUGACAUCUUUGUGCAACUUGAGGGCUUGGCUGCUCCUCUUCUGAUUCAGCUCUCUGCUAUGGCCUGGGAUAGCAGUAGAAGAUGGCCCAAGUCCUUGGGCCCCUGCACCAUGUGGGAGACCUGGAAGAAGCUCCUGGCUCCUGGCUUCGGAUUGGUACAGCUCCAGCUGUUGUGGCCAAUUGGGGAGUGAACCAUCAGAUGGAAGAUCUGUCUCUUCUCUCUCUCUCUCUCUCUCUCUCUCUCUCUCUCUCUCUGCCUCUCCUCUCUCUGUAAUUGAGACUUUCAAAUAAAUAAAUAAAUCUUUUUAAAAAACUGUCAAAUAACCCAGCUUACAGGUCUUAAGAGUACCUGAAGAUGUAGAAAGAGAGAAUGGAAUAGAAGGCCUAUUUUUGUGAAAUAAUCACAGAAAACUCCCCCAAUUUGGAGAAAGAAAAGGAUGCCAAGUACAGGAAGCACAUAGAACACAUAAGAAACAUGACCUGAAAGGAUCUUCACCAUGACACAUUGUAGUCAAACUUUCCACAGUAAGGCAUAAAGAAACAUGUUCGUAUGUGUUUUCUGCUGUAAUCAAUUUCUAAAGUGUAUACACUGACAAGAAGAACUACACAAAGUACAGUCAUUGAACAAGGUAUAUCUCCUGAGAGGGGCUCCAGGCGGCUCAGCCAGUGCUACUGUUUGUGUUUCCCACACCGCAGGAGCCCUCAGGAGGAUGCUAGGACUCCGGUAUGCAGUGGGCUGGCCGUCAGGACCACGGGGUGGUGUGCAGUCCCCGCCUGCAGCUUCUUUGAACCCUGGGGCAUCAGCUUUCCAAUCUCUGUGUGGCAGAGUGGACAUUGUGAGAGAGAGAGAGACAGACAGAAAGGACUUCCUUUUUGCCGUUGGUUCACCCUCCAACAGCCGCCGCAGCCAGCGCACUGCGGCCGGCGCACCACACUGAUCCGAAGCCAGGAGCCAGGUGCUUCUCCUGGUCUCCCAUGCAGGUGCAGGGCCCAAGGGCUUGGGUGAUCCUCCACUGCACUCCCGGGCCACAGCAGAGAACUGGACUGGAAGAGGUGCAAGCAGGACAGAAAUCCAGCUCCUGGACCGGGACUAGAUCCCCGUGUGCUGGCACCACAGGUGGAGAAUUAGCCUAUUGAGCCGCAGUGCCGGCCUUAUAUUCUAAUUUUAUAUUUGCUCUAUUUCAUUGUUAUUUCAGGAACUGUGAAGGGAGUGCAUGGUGAUUUUUUCUAUUUUUUAUUUUCUGGGAUUUUUUCUUAGCUCUGGUGUCUUAUUGACUCACUUUUCUUGAGCAUUGUGGUUAUCUUCUCCUUAGUUAUCAAAGAUAGCAAUAGCCCUGAUCUCUUUUUAAGCAAGAAAAGAAAAGCAUUAAAAGACAGAGCAUGUAGUUCACUUGGUCAGAUGACUUUCCUGACCUCCUGUGGUUUGUCUUGGUCUUUGCUGUACAAUUCUCUUUCCUCAUUAAUUUCUUCAUCUUCCCAUUACUCAGCAAAAGAGUGAUUCCACAGCCAUUUUCCUGUAUUGAUUGGGACUCAGAUUGUGUGUAAUGCUGAAGAACUGAAACUGUCUUGUUCACAGCUUACAGGACUGAGCAUGGCAACUUUACUGGAAGCAAGUGACCAUAGGAUUACCAUUUAAGGCAGUAUUAGCCUCCAUCUUUGAAGCCUGACACCAUUUUACUGAUGCUGGAAGAAGAAAUGGGAAAUUUCUAACAGAAGUCUGUAUUUAAUGUCAUUAGCUUUGGUAGAACACUACUAAAUAUAUAAUUAAUAUUUUAAGUUAUAACAAUUGUAAAACAUAAAAAUAAAAAUACUAUACCCUUAGGUUAAAUGAAUUGGGAUAAAUAAGUGCAUUUCCUCUAGCUACCUCCCCUAUACCUGUAGAGAUUAGCAUUAGGACAUUUAAGAAGCCAUAUUGUGCUGGAGCAGAGAGAAGAGGAAAGAAACAAACAGAAGUCAGGAGAUGUUAAUAGUUUUGGAUGUUGGGAGGAACAGCUAAACAGAAUUCUAUAAUUAAUUUAGAAUGUUUGAUCCAAAUUUGUGAGGGCUGUGGUGAGUGCUUGGAUUUAAGGAGCAUAAACUCUUAUUCCUUUCAACAACCUUAUUCAACAACAUGAUUGCUGAUUCUUCAUUCUAACAGAAGAUUUAGAGAUUUGCUCUCAGGAGAGCUAGACAA
Oryctolagus cuniculus (rabbit) is the source of this 4033-nucleotide non-coding RNA. The record is from RefSeq and is a predicted model, not a curated record. Lineage: Eukaryota; Metazoa; Chordata; Mammalia; Lagomorpha; Leporidae.